GAUGAAGAACGUAGCGAAAUGCGAUAAGUAGUGUGAAUUGCGGAAUUCAGUGAAUCAUCGAAUCUUUGAACGCACAUUGCGCCCUUUGGUAUUCCUUAGGGCAUGCCUGUUCGAGCGUCAUUUAAACCUUCAAGCUCAGCUUGGUGUUGGGUGACUGUCCGCCGCCUCCGGGCGGUCGGACUCGCCUCAAAUUGAUUGGCGGCCGGUACUUUGGCUUCGAGCGCAGCAGAAACGCGAACUCGAGGCCGUCGUCCUGGCUCCCAGAAGCUAUCUUCACAAUUUUGACCUCGGAUCAGGUAGGGAUACCCGCUGAACUUAAGCAUAUCAAUAAGCGGAGGA
RNAcentral lists this unclassified non-coding RNA (339 nucleotides) under soil metagenome. RNAcentral describes it as "partial contains 5.8S ribosomal RNA, internal transcribed spacer 2, and large subunit ribosomal RNA". The stretch from base 1 to 120 matches the Rfam family "5.8S ribosomal RNA", at positions 35 to 154 of the family's 154-position model. The record is from RNAcentral.